This 414-nucleotide ribosomal RNA is filed under the name uncultured soil bacterium. RNAcentral's name for it is "bacterial SSU rRNA". It matches the Rfam family "Bacterial small subunit ribosomal RNA", at positions 61 to 519 of the family's 1533-position model. The record is from RNAcentral.
GUCGAACGAGAUCCUUCGGGGUCUAGUGGCGCACGGGUGCGUAACGCGUGGGAAUCUACCCUUGGGUUCGGAAUAACAGUGAGAAAUUACUGCUAAUACCGGAUAAUGUCGCAAGACCAAAGAUUUAUUGCCCAAGGAUGAGCCCGCGUAAGAUUAGCUAGUUGGUGGGGUAAAGGCCUACCAAGGCGACGAUCUUUAGCUGGUCUGAGAGGAUGAUCAGCCACACUGGGACUGAGACACGGCCCAGACUCCUACGGGAGGCAGCAGUGGGGAAUAUUGGACAAUGGGCGAAAGCCUGAUCCAGCAAUGCCGCGUGAGUGAUGAAGGCCUUAGGGUUGUAAAGCUCUUUUACCCGGGAAGAUAAUGACUGUACCGGGAGAAUAAGCCCCGGCUAACUCCGUGCCAGCAGCCGCG